AUUGAAUACCACAAUCAAUAUAUUAUUUUUAAUUAUUUCUUGUAAUGAUUACCAUAAUGUUGAUUCAAAUUAUUACCAAAUAAAACCAAAUUUCAAAAGAAGUGAUCAAUCAUUCAUUAAUUGCUUAUGGGCAUUUUCCAAGGAAAUCACAUGCAUCACUUCUCUCAUUUUAUUCACGUGCACCCUCUUUUUCCUUUUUUCCAUUCCUUCCUUUUUUCUUUUGUUUUUCUUUUUCCUUUUUUCUUCUUUUGUUUUUUUUUUCUUUUCUCUUUUAUUCUUUUUCUCUUAUUCUUUUUUUUAUCCAUUUUUUCCUCUUCUUCCUUUUUUUUAUUUUUCUUUUUUCCGUUUUUCAUGUUCUUUUUUUUCUUUCCUUUUUACUUUUUUUUUCUUUUAAAAAUUUUUUGCUUUUUUUUAUUCUUUCUUCGUUUCUUUUUUUU
This 437-nucleotide long non-coding RNA is filed under the name Vigna radiata. Its description in RNAcentral is "long non-coding RNA (VRAD_LNC017878)". The record is from RNAcentral. Lineage: Eukaryota; Viridiplantae; Streptophyta; Magnoliopsida; Fabales; Fabaceae.